AUACGUAGGUGACAAGCGUUAUCCGGAUUUACUGGGCGUAAAGGGCGUGUAGGCGGUCUUGCAAGUCAGAAGUGAAAUUCCUGAGCUCAACUCGGGCGCUGCUUCUGAAACUGCAGGACUUGAGUGCUGGAGGGGAUAGCGGAAUUCCUAGUGGAGCGGUAAAAUGCGCAGAUAUUAGGAAGAACACCGGUGGCGAAGGCGGCUUUCUUGACGGAAACUGAGGCUGAGGCGCGAAUGCGUGGGGGGCAAACAGGAUUAGAUGCCCUGGAGGUCCACGCCGUAAACGAUGAAUACUAGGUGUAGGGGGUAUCGACUCCCUCGGUGCCGCAGUUAACACAAUAAGUAUUCCGCCUGGGGAGUACGGCCGCAAGGUUGAAACUCAAAGGAAUUGACGGGG
RNAcentral lists this ribosomal RNA (397 nucleotides) under uncultured bacterium. RNAcentral's name for it is "partial 16S ribosomal RNA". It matches the Rfam family "Bacterial small subunit ribosomal RNA", at positions 523 to 918 of the family's 1533-position model. The record is from RNAcentral.